This 215-nucleotide ribosomal RNA is filed under the name Gollumiella longipetiolata. RNAcentral's name for it is "partial 28S ribosomal RNA". It matches the Rfam family "Eukaryotic large subunit ribosomal RNA", at positions 967 to 1163 of the family's 3401-position model. The record is from RNAcentral. Lineage: Eukaryota; Metazoa; Arthropoda; Insecta; Hymenoptera; Eucharitidae.
UUUCCCUCAGGAUAGCUGGCACUCGCUUGAGCGAGUCUCAUCUGGUAAAGCGAAUGAUUAGAGGCCUUGGGGCCGAAACGACCUCAACCUAUUCUCAAACUUUAAAUGGGUGAGAUCUCUGGCUUGCUUGAAACUUGAAGCCACGAGAUAUCAUGAAUAUAUGGAUCAGAGUGCCAAGUGGGCCAAUUUUGGUAAGCAGAACUGGCGCUGUGGGA